UACAGAGACUGCAAGCGUUAUUCGGAUUCACUGGGCGUAAAGGGUGCGCAGGCGGUUGAGUGUGUCAGAUGUGAAAUCCCGAGGCUUAACCUCGGAACUGCGUCUGAAACUACUCGACUAGAGUACUGGAGGGGGAAACGGAAUUCACGGUGUAGCAGUGAAAUGCGUAGAUAUCGUAAGGAAGACCAGUGGCGAAGGCGAAUCUCUGGACAGUUACUGACACUGAGGCACGAAGGCCAUGGGAGCAAACGGG
RNAcentral lists this ribosomal RNA (253 nucleotides) under uncultured bacterium. Its description in RNAcentral is "partial 16S ribosomal RNA". It matches the Rfam family "Bacterial small subunit ribosomal RNA", at positions 524 to 776 of the family's 1533-position model. The record is from RNAcentral.